UCAGUUCUACUAUUAUUUAUUUUUUUAAAUAUUUUUGAAAAAAUAUAAUUUUUUACAAUAUUUUCAACUUAAACACUAUUCACACUGAACACGUAUGGCAGCUUAACCUACCCAAAUAUGAAGUUUAAGAAGCCAAAACUGUUCUAGCUUUGUUAAAAGAAAAGUUGUGCUGCAGACUCUUGUGAUGGUUAACAAAGCAAGGAAAAGCACCACUCAAAUCAUAAUGUUACAGUAUCUUUGUUCAGCUGGAUUACGGGUUGGUGUUGGUCAUAUGUUAGACUCCAUACAGGCAUAGCUAUGAUGCAGUGAAUCCCUUAGAAGUUACAAUUCUCAAAUUACAUACUUCCUCAGAUGUAACAUUAGAACUCAAUAUUUCUAACAAUAACAUACCAGAAAAGGCUGGACUGGUACUCAUCUGCUGACUAACUUGUAGCCUCAGUAAUAUGACACACUUGUCUUUAACAAAUUAUCUCAAAUUAACGAACAGACCUUCAGAAAACGGAGAUUCUUUUUGAUGCGGACAUAAUCCAAUUUAAGUCUGAGAAAUAUGCUUAACAGCUGGAACUCAAAUGUACUGAUUUUAAAGUUUAGACAUUAACAAGUGAUAGAUUAGCCUCAAAAAAAGACAAUUUAGUAAGCUCAUUAAACUGGUCUUGGAUUUGGUCC
This 666-nucleotide non-coding RNA is filed under the name Pongo abelii (Sumatran orangutan). Lineage: Eukaryota; Metazoa; Chordata; Mammalia; Primates; Hominidae. The record is from RNAcentral.